AGAAAAAAAAAGAAUCCCCUCCAUCUCUCUCUUCCAACAACAGAUAAAAAAGAAGUAUAUAAAAUGUGAUUACACAGGCAACAUGUUCAUAGGCACUGAUACGCCGGGGCACACUUUAUUUUUAGAGUGUUGCAUUACUAAUGGAUAUACAGCAGGAUGAGGAUUUACACCCGCCCACGUGCAGAGCAGGCAGAUAUGAGCAAGCCGAGUCUAUGCAUCACAUUUAUGUGCAAAGCAUAAAAUACUCACAUCUCCAAAAACAGAAGCAAAGAAAAGGAAGAAACUAAUUUUUUGGGGUAGGGGAAAGAAUAGCCAGGAGAGGAGGCACCUUUAACCUGCUCCUGCUGGACCGCGGAGGACUAAGGAGUGUGUCUUCUGCUCAGUGUGUAUGUGUGUGUGUCAGAGACAGAUGGAGGAGCCCGCAGCACGAAAGGCUGUCUCAGGGUGACGACUUCUGAGACUGAACGCACAGUGGAACCUCUGAUCUCAACAUUUCGGAGACAUCCUGUUGGGCUGCAAAAUUAAACCACUGGAAGUUGGGGUCAAAAGGAGUUUCUUUCAACCUACCAGGAGAGAUUAAGACUAAAUGAGUGAAGAUUUUAAAGAAAUGGUGGUGUUGUUGCGGCAUGGCUCCCAGGAUCUGACCGCUGAGUGAAGACGUCAGUCAGUGGACACUGACGGCAGCGGAGAACAGCUUGGAGGGACAGAAAGACAGAUGAAAGGAUGGACUCUGACCUUCCCCCUAUCCGUUCAAUUCCCCCUGAAUAGUUUCACAAAACCAGCACAAAGUGAUUGGUGAUUCACCAGAGGUUUAUGCCCUAAACACUACACAUGGAGGAUAUGGUGGCCAAAUCAGGGAAUCAAGCUGUGGUCUUUGUCAGAGAGAAAUAAAACUGAAAAAUUAGUUAAGUGAGCAGAUGAGCGCAGAUAAAUAAAACUAUAAAAUAGCUAUUUUGACACAACGAUCUAAAGGGUUGUAUCUGUAUCACACACUUAAUAAAGAAAAAUGGUGGUUAAAUAAAAAAAGAAAGAUUUUGUUUUUCUUGCAAAAUAAAGUGCAGUCACUGUUUUAUUGGUGUUGAAAUGUUUGCAUUACCUUAAAUAAAAAUACACUUGUUGGCCAUUCUGUUAGAUAGAUAAACCUAAUUGCUUAUUUGAGUUGCGACCAUGUAAUUGGAUGCAUUGUUGUGAUUGCAAUAUAUCCAAACAUUGAGUUGCUGCCUUUCAAAACGACUUGACAAUUCUGAAGUUUAAACUGAGCUUCAUAAUUUUGGAGACAGGAGAUUUACUUUGAACAUUGUGUGGUUGUUGGUGCUGGUCUGAGUAUUUCAGAAACUACUGAUUUACUGGGAUUUUCACACACUCAGAUUUUGGUCUUUUAUUUGAGAAUCCUCGUGAGCUCAGUCCUUUAAUAGGAUCCAGAUUGAAGUGGGUGUCACCAUCAGAUUCCAUAAAGUUAGGAAACCAAGAAUCCUGGGUUCUUCUUCUGCCAAAUUGGGCAGCCAAACUGCACCAACUCAGCAGAGCUCUUCAGAUACCAUAACCUGAUCCAACCCCACCACUGGUUUAGGAGAGUUAGGAAUUGCAUUUCAACUUGGAAUUUGUUAAAGGAGUUCCAGUUCAGCUGUUUUAAUACCCACCCACACACUAUUCAGCAUCAACAUGCAAAAGCUUUUAAACGUGAAUCAUAGCAAAAAGUGAAGAUGGAAGAGGACAAUAACAGAGAUGAACUAAGAAGGUUGUGUGGGGACACAUUUUUUUCAUACUUAAUUCUUUCUGUCUGGUAUUCUAACGAUUUUUUUCUGCAACUUUUAAUAUAAUUUCUGUUUCUGUGUGCACAUGGAAAGUACUGAUUCUAAGCAACAGUUUUAUGAAGGUUUUACACAGAUAUUAGUGGAACAAAGGUGGUGGUAUUUUGUGUUUUCCAGAUACGUGGCGCCAUUUUGUAGCACAAUCAAGUAUCUAUGUCAUCUUAAGUUGUUAUAAAAAUGCUGUACACAUCAAAAGAUUGCGUAAAAGAAAACUGACUGUCUAAUUUGACACCUCAAAAAAGGCCUGUCUCCUUAAUAAGUUCCCAUUCUUUCCAACACUUCCCCUUUAUCAGAUCAUGACAACAGUGCUCCUCCAUUAUGCCACUUACAGCUAGUUCUAGGAGUGUUGGACUGAGCACUAGCUAUUUUGCUAAUUGCUGCUGCCACUAGUUUGGUGGAGCUGUGUUGGUGAGGUGCUUAAUGAGGCAGAAGUUCGACUGGGAACUCAAGCUCCAAGCAUCUCUGAAUGGCGGCCUUGGGAGAUUCAAUAAUUUCUAAAACAUGCCUGAAAGAAUCAAAAGUGCAUGAUUUUUGAUGAGGGAAUGACAUUAAAAUAUUGUAUAAAGCUCAAAGUCAAUUUCAAAUAAUAUCUCUCCUGGAAAGUCACAGGAAGUUAAAUCAGAACUUUUUAUCUGUCAAAGGGUCAUAUUAAUUAAGGGGGACUUCAUUUUUUUUGUGGCAAAGAAUUGAGAAGAAUACCACAACUUUAAUAUGACAGCAGGUAACUUUUUUUUUUCAAAAACACAUGACUAAUUGCUUUUUUGCCAUCUUGAACACUCUGUCAUGUACAUAAGAACUGAUUCUUAAUUGACAGUGUUGCAGACAUAGAUUUUUGUUCAAUAAUGACAGAGCUGAAAGUGCUUCUUCCAUCAAGAUGAGCUAGAAGUGAAGGGAGGAGGACAACGACAAGGCAAGGGACAUUCAGAAGACAUGAAACAAGUCUUUGUCUGAGGUUUAACAGGACAGAGUAAAUGUAAGAGUGUCAGGCAUGAGAAUAAAACCCCCAGAACUCUUCCUGCUAUGCUCUACAGCCACACUGACAAUGUCUACUGUCAUGCUGUCAGCUGAAAGCAACAUUACCACAGAAUAAAAGCUAACAAAUUAAUGAUGCAUCCAUUCUUCUGCUUCAUGUGGAGAAGUACCCCUGCUUUCAGUUUUUAACCUCAUUUCUAUGACAUUGCCAUCCACCCAAAAGCUAAAGCCUUUUUCAGCUUCUUGCUUCCAGGAUUUUGUUUAUAAUUCAUAGUUGAGGUCCACAGGUGAUGGUGUGAUUGUAGAUGGAAUCAUAAAUGGAGAACUGUCAGUUCAGCUACUUUGCCACCAUAUCAGAUCUAUCACUCUAUCACUAUCACUCAGAAAUAAGAUACCAAAUAUAGUCCCUUGGAAAAGUAUUCACUUCUUUAGUUGACAUUUGUAGUCACCAUUGCUUUCAUUCUUAAGCUAAUUUGACUUAAAAUAUUCUUCUCGGGAAAAUAACUCAGUCAGAUUGGAUGCAGAAGGUCUGUGAACUGUCAUAAUAAAGAUUUUCCAAAGAUUCUCAAUUGCAUUUUAGUAUGAAAUUUGACUAGACCAUUCUAGAGCAUGAAUAUUCUUUGAUUUAAACAAAAUUUAUCUCAGAAUGUGUUUUCACUGUUUUUGCAUUGCUGGGAGGUGAAUUGACAUCUCAGCUUCAAGUCCUUUGCAGUCAAGGUUUUCUACAAUGGUUUUCUUCGAUUUAACUUCAUCCAUCUUCCAUAUCCUUGGUUCUGGAUAGAACCAUCUAUAUAGCAUCAUGCUGCCAACACUAUGUAACACCACAGGGAGACUGUGUUUAGAGUGAUACAAAGACAUCUUUCAGCCACACAAAAUAUUUUGUUUGUAAAAGUAAAAAAGAGUUUCAAUUUGGUUUAUCCAAGAUGUUGUGUUUCCUAUAUAGAUUGUGGCUAAGUGCAACUUUUUACAGUUUCCCAAGGACUUUCUUCUGGAUGAAGAUUCCUUAAAGAACAAAAAUGUGUCCUGUUGACAAAUUUUCCUAUCUGAUCUGUAGAUCUCUGUUGGUUCUCUGAAGUUACAAUGAGUCUCUCUGACAGUUUAGGAAAAUCUUAAGGUUUGCAGUUGUAACAUGCUCUUACCUUUCUCAUACAGUGGGUAAGACUUUUGUGAGACAUUCACACCAUUAAGUUAUUGUCUUCUAACUCUGCCACUGCUUUACCUCUGACCUUUCUGUUCUGUUUUCAUUUUCUUUGUAAGGUUUUCUUUUCAUUCAUGUUCUCUAGCUGACCACUGAUGUAAUCACUAAGAGGUUGUAUUUACACUGAGUUUCAUAUAAUUGAAGCAAUAAAAUAAUUACCUAUCAA
This is a long non-coding RNA of Xiphophorus hellerii (green swordtail), 4147 nucleotides long. RefSeq lists it as uncharacterized. NCBI's taxonomy places the organism in Eukaryota, Metazoa, Chordata, Actinopteri, Cyprinodontiformes, Poeciliidae. The record is from RefSeq and is a predicted model, not a curated record. The transcript has 4 exons.